This is a long non-coding RNA of Cololabis saira (Pacific saury), 1426 nucleotides long. RefSeq lists it as uncharacterized. Lineage: Eukaryota; Metazoa; Chordata; Actinopteri; Beloniformes; Belonidae. The record is from RefSeq and is a predicted model, not a curated record. The transcript has 7 exons.
AGGUGCUGCUGGUGUCGGCGCUGCUGUCCGGGACGCCGAAAACAAGAGUUGUACUCCUUUUUCCUUUAAAGAAAAUAUGUGAUUACACCGGUGUCUCCCAACUGACGGGACAUGGAGCAAGCUUUCAUGUCAGUGGUCAUGACCACGGAGUCAGCAGACGAGGAAAACAACCUUGGGAAGCUCUGCUUUGAGCCAUCAAUUAUUGAUGAUAUAAGACAGGCAGCCUGUCAGAGUACUCCGGGGUAUGUGAUGGCUCAAGGAAAGGCUUUAAUUGACAUGAAAACUUGGAUGAGGUGAAGAGAAGAAGCAGAUCAGCCCACAUAUAACAUUAACAUCAGCAUAACAUCACUCUGACGAUUCAAUGGGAUAUACAGUAGCUGUAGAUCAAAUUCUCCUGUCUUCAAGUUUUAAGAUACACAAAGAAGCUGACAUGUCUGACCAGGGAUCAUCUCUCAAGUCAUCUUUCUCCGGUCUUAUCACAGCAAACUCCUUAACUUAUAAGUUGCAUUUCUGCAUUUGGAGUAUGAUUUUGUUCUUUUUCUUUUUAAAAUGUAAUGAUGUUCUACAGAGUUUAUUAUUCAACAAGAAAAAAAUAAAGAAAACAUCAAUUAUGCUGCUUUAUAUUAUAUAACAAAUGGUGGAAUAAGACUUAAAUAACAAAUGUAAGUGUCUAAAAGUGAAUUAAAUUUAGAUGAUGUGAAUUUAGAGCAGCUUUUAAUUCAACAGAGUUGGAGUGGAAGUACAAUAUAACUUGGUUCCUUAGAGGUGAAAUUUCUGCUCAUCUGGUACAUUGUUUGUUUUGUGACACCUCUUAUCCGUAGUAGCUCAACCAACCUCAUGUGCACUCAGCUCUGAGAGGCCUUUUUCUGGAGCAAAUUAAUUCCCAGUCGGAGAUUAACUGUUAUGAAUGGAUUGGGUGGAAGAGAUGUAUGAACGCUCCGUGUUUCUACACAGCAUUCUGCUCCCAGUGACAAAGAUACUGGAGGUUGUCCUACUUCUGUUGGAGGAAAAAUGUGACUUUGUACAGUAGCUCAGGGGAGUCUCUGCGUGGGGAUGGGAGGGCAGGCAUGUUAACAGAUGUGCACAAGAAUUGCACCCACUGGACGUUUCCUUACAAAAAUGACGAUGUAGAGCUGUAAAACUGUGAAUUUGGCUACUUCACAUUGAUCAUAGACUUACUGAGAUACAGUGUUCUUGUUUCACAAAACCUACUACACUGUGCUGAAAUGUGCAGUGUGCCUGUGUCUGUGUCAUUAGUUCAGGCCUAAACAGUGCCCCAACAUUCAGCCUGAGUCUCAUAAUAUUGUGUAAACUGUGACGACCCCUGUCUUUGUGUAUUUGCUUGGGCUGCCUUUCAGAUGCCUGGUGGGCGGGGCAGGGGAUCAUCAGCCAUCAGCCAACUGGGAACACCUGGGCCCGGUGCUCC